Molecule: ribosomal RNA, 492 nt
Filed under: uncultured bacterium
Lineage: Bacteria
Description: partial 16S ribosomal RNA
Rfam family: Bacterial small subunit ribosomal RNA
Source: RNAcentral
AGUGAACGCUGGCGGUAGGCCUAACACAUGCAAGUCGAACGGCAGCACAGUAAGAGCUUGCUCUUACGGGUGGCGAGUGGCGGACGGGUGAGGAAUACAUCGGAAUCUACUUUUUCGUGGGGGAUAACGUAGGGAAACUUACGCUAAUACCGCAUACUACCUACGGGUGAAAUCAGGGGAUCUUCGCACCUUGCGCGACUGUAUGAGCCGAUGUCGGAUUAGCUAGUUGGCGGGGUAAAGGCCCACCAAGGCGACGAUCCGUAGCUGGUCUGAGAGGAUGAUCGGCCACACUGGAACUGAGACACGGUCCAGACUCCUACGGGAGGCAGCAGUGGGGAAUAUUGGGCAAUGGGCGAAAGCCUGACCCAGCCAUACCGCGUGAGUGAAGAAGGUCUUCGGGUUGUAAAGCCCUUUUGUUGGGAAAGAAAAGCAGCAGAUUAAUACCCCGCUGUUCUGACGGUACCCAAAGAAUAAGCACCGGCUAACUUCGUG